GCUCUUGUGGCUUAGUGGUUUGAGUAUUUCACUAGGACUCUAGAGACCAGAGUUCAAAUCCUGGCUCAGCCA
Molecule: non-coding RNA, 72 nt
Organism: Phrynosoma platyrhinos (Desert horned lizard)
Lineage: Eukaryota; Metazoa; Chordata; Lepidosauria; Squamata; Phrynosomatidae
Source: the annotation of a GenBank genome assembly